This 2882-nucleotide long non-coding RNA is filed under the name Nothobranchius furzeri (turquoise killifish). RNAcentral's name for it is "lncRNA (ENSNFUG00015007608.1)". Lineage: Eukaryota; Metazoa; Chordata; Actinopteri; Cyprinodontiformes; Nothobranchiidae. The record is from RNAcentral.
AAAGGUCCAUAUUGGGUAGCUUCUUACAUGAUAGAAGAUAAUGGUCGUGGCUCGAGCACCCAAGAUUUUAUGACAUCAUUAGAAGCAAAAUAUAAACAUAAGGAUAAUACAAAUCCAAGGGCCAGUGGCAUAGCCUGUUACGCAGACGCUCUGUCAAACUUGCAGCGCCGCUUUAUGUGUUCAUAAAUCACCGAGUCAACAAGCGACACCAAAACAGUCUCUCCUCCGUUUCUCUGGUGGCCAUCAGGUGGCUCAUUCCCCCACGACCGAGGGUUUGCGCUCAAACGCGUCCUUUAAUCCUCCGUGGUCACCCGUGGUUGCCAUUUUAUGAGGUGAGAUCUAUAUUUGUGUUUCAUUUGGAUGGAUCUCCGCUUUAUUCUGGAGCUCCGAUGAAUCCGAAUGACUUUUCCUCUCAGAAGCUGCGAGAAAAGGAGAGGAUAGGAUUUAGACAACAACACGAGAGAAAGGGACGUGUUAAUAUUAAUGAUCGCUGUGCAUAUUACGAAACUUCACACGCUUAUUAUUAUUAUUAUUAUUAUUAUUAUUAUUAUUAUUAUUAUUAUUAUUAUUAUUAAUAUUAAUGCUUGGACGGCAUUAACAAAACACGUUUCGCACGAAAUCCUCUCACUAAGCACCAUUAUUUCAUCCUGACAUCCAUACUUACAUCCGUAAAGGGCCAAAAGAGCCUCAGCCCUCCUAAAAACACAUUUGUUGGAAGAUGAUGAGGAGGCGAGGAUACAGAUUUUCUUCUGCGCUCAAACCUUCGUCUUGAUUGUGAGGCGUGAUAAUCACAAAUCCGUCUCCGUCUCCAACGGGCGACCAUAUCCACAUCCAGCAUAUGCAUCCGUGCUCUGACGCACUCUGAGGAGGGCACUUUUUCCGGCUGCGUGCAUGUCGACGUGUUGUCUCAAUUCAACAGGAUCUGUUGGCACUUGAGCCUCAAUUUCUGCGGCACCGCUUCUGGGGAAUCAGGUGUUCACGCAGCGAGUUGGCAUCUACGAUGGCUCCACGCGACCGCGAGCAGAAGAAAACGAGGGUGGGUAAAAGUUUACCUUGGUUCGGGCGGAAAGGAACGGCCUCAGUCUGAGCAUCACACAUCUGUCUGUCUGCCGCUUUAGCUCUACCUAUCUCCUGUAUCCCUCCCAUUGUGUGUGUGUGUGUGUGUGUGUGUGUGUGUGUGUGUGUGUGUGUGUGUGUGUGUGUGUGUGUGUGUGUGUGUGUGUGUCGUGUACUGCAGCGCGCAGGCGGCGCUCGGUCCUCCCCCAGUGGACGCAGCCGGUACUGCGUACCUGCUGCAGUCUCUCAUCCACAAUUAUCUGCCCUUCAGCAUGCCUCCAUGGUGCCAAACUGACUUUUUUUCCUCAACAAAAAAAAAGUAUAUUUUUCCUUCAAUAAAGAUUGUUUUUCAUUUUUCUCUUAUUCCUCUUUCCAGCUCCUGGAAUUGUUUUUUUCUCCGAUAAAUGAACAUAUUUUACACAAUCUUAGCUAAGAUUUAACUGAAACAAUAAACCGAAUAAUUUUUUGGGAAUUAUUACUUGAAAACAUCAGCAGGGAUGCAUUUUGUGGUUCACAUGAACCUGAAUACAUUAUUUGCAUUAAACAUGUGUUUCAAUAACAUUUCAAUUAGUUUCCCUGCAGCCAAAAUAAGCUCUUUGUUUUCAACAUUAAUAAAUCGUUGCAUUCAUUUGCAUUUCCCAAGAGAGUAAACACCAUUAAUGCCGACUGUUUCUGCCUCCCUCUGGUGCAAGAUUAAAAGAGCACUCUUGAGGGAAUAGCACCUGUUCAGGAACUAAAAUCACUUCGGUUAUCUUGUUAGACCAUAUACUUCAACUUGUGGAUCAGACUCUAUAAAUCCAAAAGCUCUGCAGUGUGUGCGCAUCAUAAAAUAUUGACAGGAAGUCAAACUUUAAAUUAUUUGGAAUAGAAGGGGUUGUGAAACACAAUCAGUUAUAAAAUAAAUGAGACAUAAAAUAAAAAUGAUUCUACAGAAAUAUUUUCUCUUCAAUGGAAUUUUAUUGCAUGGUGAGAAGAAAACAUCUGACCUUGAAAACUAUUGAAAUAAAUACAUUUAAUCAAAAAUGUCAGUAAGAGUUAAAUUGCAACCAAAAAACAGUAAUUUUUUAAUCAAAAUCACCUAACUUUAUUCUGACUGAUAUCACUUGCAGUAAAUAAUAAAAGAUGUAACUCUUUAUGCAAAUGAACACCUCACAUUUAAAAAGUGGCUUUAGCCUAAAUAACACCAGACCUGAAUGAAGAGCAUCACUCAGUUUUUUGAACAAUGAUUAAAAAAAUAAACAGUCAGCCUGUUGAUAUGUAUUGUUUGUUUGUUUUGCACAAGAAGAAGCUAAUGGCAAAAAUAUGCUUCCUGCUCAAAUCUUGUGCAAACGUUUCAAACUUUUUUACAAGCUUUGUUUAAAUAUUGUAAACUGGGUGUUAUCAAUAGCAUUUUGAUGAUCUUUUAAAGUUAUUUUGCCUUUUAAUGCAUUUUCACUCAACGGCUUUAACCAUAACAAGAAGCAAAUAAGGCCUAAGAUUUUUUUAAUAGCAGAUUAUUCAAUUCAAUUCAAUUUUAUUUAUAUAGCGCCAAAUCACGACAAGAGUCGUCUCAAGGCACUUCACAUAAUAAACAUUCCAAUCCAGGUCAGUUCAUUAAGCCAAUCAGAAAUAAUGUUUCCUACAUAAGGAACCCAGCAAAUUGACUUUACAGCAAUCCUCAUACUAAGCAAGCAUAAAGCGACAGUGGAGAGGAAAACUCCCUUUUAACAGAAAGAAACCUCCAGAGAAUCCUGGCUCAGAAUAAGCAGCCAUCCUCCACGACUCACUGGGGAUCGAGAAGACAGAGCAGACACACACACACACACACACACACACACACACACACA